Molecule: long non-coding RNA, 376 nt
Organism: Oncorhynchus tshawytscha (Chinook salmon)
Lineage: Eukaryota; Metazoa; Chordata; Actinopteri; Salmoniformes; Salmonidae
Source: Ensembl
GGAAGAUGGACAGGGACUCUGUUGUCAUAGCUUCAGGGGGAAGAUGGACAGGGACUCUGUUGUCAUAGCUUCAGGGGGAGAUGGACAGGGACUCUGUUGUCAUAGCAUCAGGGGGAGAUGGACAGGGACUCUGUUGUCAUAGCUUCAGGGGGAGAUGGACAGGGACUCUGUUGUCAUAGCUUCAGGGGGAAGAUGGACAGGGACUCUGUUGUCAUAGCUUCAGGGGGGGGAGAUGAACAGGGACUCUGUUGUCAUAGCUUCAGGGGAAGCUCAUUCCACCAUCGGAGGGCAUAGCUUCAGGGGAAGCUCAUUCCACCAUCGGAGGGCAUAGCUUCAGGGGAAGCUCAUUCCACCAUCGGAGGGCAUAGCUUCAGGG